This 716-nucleotide ribosomal RNA is filed under the name uncultured Pseudomonadota bacterium. RNAcentral's name for it is "bacterial SSU rRNA". It matches the Rfam family "Bacterial small subunit ribosomal RNA", at positions 75 to 767 of the family's 1533-position model. Lineage: Bacteria; Pseudomonadati; Pseudomonadota. The record is from RNAcentral.
CCCCUUCGGGGGGUACACGAGUGGCGCACGGGUGAGUAACACGUGGGUAAUCUACCUUCAGGUCUGGGACAACUCCGGGAAACUGGAGCUAAUACCGGAUGAGACCACGAGGUCCUCGGACUUCGCGGGAAAAGAUGGCCUCUCCUUGGAAGCUAUCGCCUGUAGAUGAGCCCGCGCCCCAUUAGCUAGUUGGUGAGGUAACGGCUCACCAAGGCGACGAUGGGUAGCUGGUCUGAGAGGACGACCAGCCACACUGGAACUGAGACACGGUCCAGACUCCUACGGGAGGCAGCAGUCGGGAAUUUUGGGCAAUGGGCGAAAGCCUGACCCAGCAACGCCGCGUGAGGGAUGAAGGCCUUCGGGUCGUAAACCUCUGUCGGGAGGGAAGAACGAUCGCAAGGUGAAUAAUCUUGGGGUCUGACGGUACCUCCAAAGGAAGCGCCGGCUAACUCCGUGCCAGCAGCCGCGGUAAUACGGAGGGCGCAAGCGUUGUUCGGAAUCAUUGGGCGUAAAGCGCGUGUAGGCGGCUUGGCAAGUCGGGUGUGAAAUCCCGGGGCUCAACCCCGGAACUGCAUUCGAUACUGCCUCGCUAGAGUCCCGGAGAGGAGGGCGGAAUUCCCGGUGUAGAGGUGAAAUUCGUAGAUAUCGGGAGGAACACCAGUGGCGAAGGCGGCCCUCUGGACGGUGACUGACGCUGAGAUGCGAAAGCGUGGGGA